Molecule: ribosomal RNA, 253 nt
Filed under: uncultured bacterium
Lineage: Bacteria
Description: partial 16S ribosomal RNA
Rfam family: Bacterial small subunit ribosomal RNA
Source: RNAcentral
GACAGAGGGGGCAAGCGUUGCUCGGAAUCACUGGGCGUAAAGGGCGCGUAGGCGGGAUGGCAAGUCAGUCGUGAAAUCUCUCGGCUCAACCGAGAAACGUCGGCUGAUACUGCCGUUCUUGAGGGAUGCAGAGGAGACUGGAAUUCCCGGUGUAGCGGUGAAAUGUGUAGAGAUCGGGAGGAACACCGGUGGCGAAGGCGGGUCUCUGGACGGAUACUGACGCUGAGACGCGAAAGCGUGGGGAGCAAACAGG